This 80-nucleotide non-coding RNA is filed under the name Oryzias latipes (Japanese medaka). Its description in RNAcentral is "Eukaryotic large subunit ribosomal RNA". It matches the Rfam family "Eukaryotic large subunit ribosomal RNA", at positions 24 to 103 of the family's 3401-position model. The record is from Rfam by way of RNAcentral. Lineage: Eukaryota; Metazoa; Chordata; Actinopteri; Beloniformes; Adrianichthyidae.
CCUGCUGAAUUUAAAUAGAUUACAAAGCAGAGGAAAAGAAACUAACUAGGAUUCCAUCAGUGGCGGCCAGCAAAGAGGGA